AGCGAACGCUGGCGGCAGGCCUAACACAUGCAAGUCGAACGAACCUUUCGGGGUUAGUGGCGGACGGGUGAGUAACACGUUGGAACGUGCCUUUAGGUUCGGAAUUACUCAGGGAAACUUGUGCUAAUACCGAAUGUGCCCUUCGGGGGAAAGAUUUAUCGCCUUUAUAGCGGCCCGCGUCUGAUUAGCUAGUUGGUUGAGGUAAUGGCUCACCAAGGCGACGAUCAGUAGCUGGUCUGAGAGGAUGAUCAGCCACAUUGGGACUGAGACACGGCCCAAACUCCUACGGGAGGCAGCAGUGGGGAAUAUUGAGAAAUGGGAGAAAGCAUGAAGCAGCCAGGCAGCGUGAAUGAUGAAGGUCUUAGGAUUGUAAAAUUCUUUAAGCGGGGACGAGAAUGACGGUACCCGGAGAAGAAGCCACGGCUAACUUCGUG
This 434-nucleotide ribosomal RNA is filed under the name uncultured bacterium. RNAcentral describes it as "partial 16S ribosomal RNA". It matches the Rfam family "Bacterial small subunit ribosomal RNA", at positions 29 to 507 of the family's 1533-position model. The record is from RNAcentral.